Molecule: transfer RNA, 67 nt
Filed under: Alligator mississippiensis (American alligator)
Lineage: Eukaryota; Metazoa; Chordata; Crocodylia; Alligatoridae
Also listed under: 1 other name
Rfam family: tRNA
About the family: Transfer RNA (tRNA) molecules are approximately 80 nucleotides in length.
Source: Rfam by way of RNAcentral
GACCGCAUGGCCUAAUGGCAUCUGACUUUGAAUCAGAAGAUUGAGGGUUUAAGUCCCUUUGUGAUUG